UUUACUUAUAAACACCAACUUGUAAAAAUUCGGAAACAAUUUGUAGAAAGACUAGAGUUGUUAAAUAAAGAAAUAAGAAACCUAGAAAUAGAUAUUCUAAACUUUAAAGAAACAGACGAAAUAAUUACCAUAACCUCUAAAUAUUAUAAAAAAGCAUUAAUUAGUGAACAAUCUAGGCUGAUAGAAAAUAUACAAGAAGUAGAAUUAGAUAUAACCUAUACUAAUAGUAGAUUGAAAUAUCAAACUAAGCUAAGCAAAAAAUACCUUAAUUUAAAUCACUUAGGAUAACAAAAUAGCUUCUUUAAA
RNAcentral lists this long non-coding RNA (306 nucleotides) under Capsicum annuum. RNAcentral's name for it is "long non-coding RNA (CANN_LNC006270)". Lineage: Eukaryota; Viridiplantae; Streptophyta; Magnoliopsida; Solanales; Solanaceae. The record is from RNAcentral.